UUGGUGUACAGCGUUGCUGUUUUGCUGUCACGUACCUUCCCGGAGCCUGGGACUGAGGGGGCGCGCGCGUGUGCGUGUGUUUGAGGGAAAGCGGGACUCGGGCAGGGCCGUCCCCUGUUCCCUUUUCCCUUAGCGGAGGCGGCAGUCUGCACGCUCGUUUGCUCGCCGCCCACUUGGGAGCGGUCUCGGGGUGCUUUUUUGAUUUUGGAACUUGUGAGAGUCUCCCCCGACCCCCACUCCCCUCUUCCAUUUUUUUUUCCCCCUUUCGGCUUGGCGCCUCUAGGGCUGGUUUCCCCGGCCCCUGAAUAACCGCUUCCCGACUCUGGUCGCCAGGCCUGCCUCAGGUUGCCCCCGGCUCUGCCCCUGGCCUCGGAGGGUGGGAAGCCUUGCUUAGAGGGUCUCUGAAGCUUAGCCGCACCUGCCUCUCAGUAUGCAUGGGGUCAACGACCCUCCUCUUUUUAUAAAAGACAUUAAGGCCGGACUGAAAAACUUAAAUGUCGUCUUUAUUGUCCUGGAGAUAGGUAAGUGAGGUCCGCAGCCCGCCCCACACCCUCGAGCGCUCGGACUUCUUCCCCGCCCGCGACCCCACGUGCUCCCAGCUGAGACUCCUACCCGGGGACAGAAGUCAGUCACGUAGCAUGCCAGAGGAGGGUGAGACAGCUCUCUCGAAUGGACUCCUUAUCUAACACAUCUUUCCUUCUCCCCUGUUUGAUUUUUUAAAUCUUCACAGGACGAGUGACCAAAACCAAAGACGGCCAUGAAGUGAGAUCCUGCAAAGUAGCUGAUAGAACGGGAAGCAUCACUAUUUCUGUGUGGGAUGAGAUCGGAGGGCUCAUACAGACAGGGGAUAUUAUUCGAUUGACCAGAGGAUAUGCAUCAAUGUGGAAAGGAUGCCUGACACUUUAUACUGGAAGAGGUGGUGAACUUCAAAAAAUUGGAGAAUUUUGUAUGGUGUAUUCAGAAGUGCCAAAUUUCAGUGAGCCAAACCCAGAUUAUAGAGGACAGCAGAACAGAGUGGUACAAAAUGAACAGAAGGAUAAAAUGAACACCAGUAUAUUCGGGACAGUGGGAAAUGGUGUUCAGACUGGCCCUGAAUCUAGGGGAUAUCCUCUUCAAUAUGGCAGAAGCAAUGGCCCAGGACCCAUCAGUCCACAGCUACCAGGAGAACCUAGUAAUCAAACAGUCAGGACCACAAUAAGUAAUGCCAGAGAUCCGAGGAGAGCCUUUAAAAGAUGACCUAAGCCAAAGAGACACAUGUAGUUUUUAAACUACGUGACCUACUUGAACACUUAGUGCACUUUUAUUUAUUCUUAACUGUGAAAACUUUGUCUCUUACGGGUUUCCUUUUAUAUUUUUGGUUUGUUAAAAAGAGUGGUUGGUUU
Molecule: long non-coding RNA, 1382 nt
Filed under: Rattus norvegicus (Norway rat)
Lineage: Eukaryota; Metazoa; Chordata; Mammalia; Rodentia; Muridae
Description: long non-coding RNA NONRATT029380
Source: RNAcentral